CGACCGGCGCACGGGUGAGUAACACGUAUGAAACCUGCCCGUAGCAGGGGGAUAAGCGGGAAGAAAUUCCGUCUAAUACCGCGUAACAACCCAUGGAGGCAUCUCUGUGGGUUUAAAGGAAGCGAUUCCGGCUACGGAUGGUCAUGCGUCGCAUUAGCUUGUUGGCGGGGUAGCGGCCCACCAAGGCGACGAUGCGUAGGGGUUCUGAGAGGAAGGUCCCCCACACUGGUACUGAGACACGGACCAGACUCCUACGGGAGGCAGCAG
RNAcentral lists this ribosomal RNA (267 nucleotides) under uncultured bacterium. RNAcentral describes it as "partial 16S ribosomal RNA". It matches the Rfam family "Bacterial small subunit ribosomal RNA", at positions 92 to 354 of the family's 1533-position model. The record is from RNAcentral.